GUCCCCAUCGUCUAGAGGCCUAGGACACUGCCCUUUCACGGCGGCAACACCGGUUCGAAUCCGGUUGGGGACGCCA
This 76-nucleotide transfer RNA is filed under the name Gammaproteobacteria bacterium RIFCSPLOWO2_02_FULL_61_13. Its description in RNAcentral is "tRNA-Glu". It matches the Rfam family "tRNA". From Rfam's summary of the family: Transfer RNA (tRNA) molecules are approximately 80 nucleotides in length. Their secondary structure includes four short double-helical elements and three loops (D, anti-codon, and T loops). RNAcentral also lists the same sequence under 4 other names. Lineage: Bacteria; Pseudomonadati; Pseudomonadota; Gammaproteobacteria. The record is from RNAcentral.